GAUGAACGCUGGCGGCGUGCCUAAUACAUGCAAGUCGAGCGAACAGACGAGGAGCUUGCUCCUCUGACGUUAGCGGCGGACGGGUGAGUAACACGUGGAUAACCUACCUAUAAGACUGGGAUAACUUCGGGAAACCGGAGCUAAUACCGGAUAAUAUAUUGAACCGCAUGGUUCAAUAGUGAAAGACGGUUUUGCUGUCACUUAUAGAUGGAUCCGCGCCGCAUUAGCUAGUUGGUAAGGUAACGGCUUACCAAGGCGACGAUGCGUAGCCGACCUGAGAGGGUGAUCGGCCACACUGGAACUGAGACACGGUCCAGACUCCUACGGGAGGCAGCAGUAGGGAAUCUUCCGCAAUGGGCGAAAGCCUGACGGAGCAACGCCGCGUGAGUGAUGAAGGUCUUCGGAUCGUAAAACUCUGUUAUUAGGGAAGAACAAAUGUGUAAGUAACUAUGCACGUCUUUACGGUACCUAAUCAGAAAGCCACGGCUAACUGCGUG
RNAcentral lists this ribosomal RNA (497 nucleotides) under uncultured bacterium. Its description in RNAcentral is "partial 16S ribosomal RNA". It matches the Rfam family "Bacterial small subunit ribosomal RNA", at positions 28 to 507 of the family's 1533-position model. The record is from RNAcentral.